CGGCGGCGGCGUAGAAGAGCGAGGCGCGCGAGGCGGUGAAUGCGGCGGCGGACUUGUCCUUGGCGGCGGCCGGCGGGGACGGUGGCGGGAGCUUCUCGGUCUUGAUUUGGAGGCGCAUGCCGCCGAAGCAGUAGCCGUAGCUGCAGAUGAAGUAGUAGGUCUUGGUCUCGUUGAGCUCGAAGGCGUAGGUGCGGCCCUUGCUGUAGUUGGAGAUGGCGUUGGUGGCGUCGCACGUAUUGUACCCCGCCGCGUCCACCUGGAUCACGUCCGCCUGCCCCGCCGUGUAGUAGAACACUGCCCACAUCCCAAAUCAGAGAUGAGAAGAAUCAAAAUCAAACCAAAUGAGAAAUCAAGCGUUUCAUCUGCCAGAUCUGGGCACACGAGAGGCGGGUGAAGCAGG
This 400-nucleotide long non-coding RNA is filed under the name Oryza sativa (Asian cultivated rice). RNAcentral describes it as "long non-coding RNA (OSAT_LNC000646)". The record is from RNAcentral. Lineage: Eukaryota; Viridiplantae; Streptophyta; Magnoliopsida; Poales; Poaceae.